GGCGAGGCAACCGGCCCCUGGCGGGCGAGACCGGUCCCCGAGCGCGUCUUCGCAGUGAGAGACCGGUCCUCCGCAGGGAGAGACCGGUUCCCGAACUUUAGUUUUUCGGGUUCGCAGCGAGAGACCGGUCCCUGCUGGGGAGAGACCGGUCCCUCUAGGCGAAAACUGCCCAGUCCGGGUUGAUGUAAAUUUGAGUUUUUGAGGGGCCUCUCUGGAUUUUGUUGCUCUAAAUGGUCUAUAAGGCCAUUUCACUCUCUUCCCUCCUCAUUUCUCACCCUCUCCCUUCACCUUCUAGAGAGAGAAGAAGGAGAAGGAGGAGAAGAAGAAGAGAAGCUUGCUUGAGGGAGCUUGGAGCUCAACCCCUUUCUCUCAUUUCCACCCUUGCUUGGCUUGGAGCUUGCUUGUAGAGCUUGGUGGUGGGCCAAUCUUCAACCCUAGAAGAUUUGGAGCUUGUUUGGAGGCAUCUUGGGAGGUUAGUAUUAUGAUUCUAACCUUUGAUCCUUGUUUUGGUAGGUUUUACCUUAUGAAACCCUAAAAUGUGAACUUAGGGUUUAUUUUGGGCGUUUUGAAUCUAGGGCUUUUGGAGCUAGAUUGAUUGGUUUAGAACCUUCCAUUUGGUUGGAUUGGAAGGGUUCUAGCUCUCUUUUGGAGCUUUGGAAGAGAUUUCUUCUCUUGAGGUGAGUUUUAGCCCUUUUUGCUUCUAGGUUAAUGUUUGAUCUUAUAGUUGAUCGUAAUGCCGGUGUAUCUCUUCGCUCAAUACUUUUAGGGUAUUUUGAGACUCGUGGACAACUUCUUUCGGCGAAACGAAGGACACUGCGACGGUUCGGUGGGUUUGACCUAGCCACACAAUGGGAAAAUCCCAUUGUUGCUGUUUUAAAUGUCAUAAAAUGAAAAAGCAUCCAUAUUCUUGUUAUAUGUAUUUAUUGUGAAUUUUUGAAUGCUUAAAAUGUCCAUGUUACAUAUAGAAAAAUUUUGGACCUCUAUGUAGUAGAGAGCACGCAUGUGUGAGAUAGCAUUCUGGUUGAGAUUGAAACUAAGAUCCCUGUUAUGAAAAUGAACCUUGCCUUCAUGCGUUUAGCUUAUAGGCCAAUUGUAACAUUAGAGAUUUUUGGAAGCCUAGAGAGGCUUAAGGACUUAGACUAUUUGAGAGAUUGGGCCAAUGUCAUAAAGAGGCAUUGGGCCUGGGCUAAAGUGAACCUUGCUAUUAUCGUCUAAAUUGGAAUAUGGUACAUGUAUUGGGCAUGAUUAGUUAUGAUGCUUAAGUGUCAUAAAGAGGCACUAAGCAAGUGAGUGUUGGGAUAUCACUUUGUGACAUAGAGCUAGACCGUUGGGUUACUAGUAGCUACUACCAUGUUUAAGAUAUGAGGAUUGGACACUUGAGACUUGGACUAUGCUUGCUUGCCAUUUGUGCUCAUUCGCACAUGCUUGUGAGGGUCGCUCCCUACAAGCCGGCACUCCGGAGUUAGCCUAUGCGACUUAUGUUCGCUCGUGCGGUAUUGAGAGGCCUACGAGGUCGAGUGGGAUAGACACAUUCCAAGAGUAGGGAUGUUGGGCUACCACAGGCACUUAGGCGGCACAAGCUGGACUACCUUUGGUAAGUCCUUAAUUGGAAAUCAAAAUCGACACGGUGUUGAGAAUGAAUAAUCACUACUAGAUAGGCUUAGUAGUUGGAUUACUUGACAUGCUCAUGACAUAGCUUUGGGGCAUAUAGUAUACUGGGUCGCUUUGAUAGAGCUUACUCCUUAUGCAUUGACAUAUUGCAUCGUGAGGUUUACUUGUUCAUUAUGUUAUGGCAUAUUAGUAUGCAUUGGACAUACCAUCUUGUGAUAGUGUAGAUGUACAUUACCAUGACAUCAGGCUUACUUGAGACAUAGUAGUAUAGCAUUUCAUUUAUGCUUUCUUUCAGCAGUUCUUAUACUCGCUCUUUAUUGUUUGUUAUUAUUGUUGUUACUUACCCNUGCUCUCCAUCUGGUGGAUAGCUUAGCAGGAGCUUCCUUCGAUCGAGCUUCGUUGAGGGAAGAGCGCCAGGGAUCGGAGAGGGCCGCACCUUCCGAGACUUUUGUAGUUCUUUUGCUCCCGCACUCUUGAUAUUAAAUAUCAAGGGUCACCCGUUAAUGACUGGAGUCGAGUUACGUGGUGAUCCGGGGUUUUCUUUUCCCAUUCAUUGUUGUUAUUAUUGUUUGUUAUUUCUCGCUCAUAUUCUUGACGACUUUCUUUCGUAUUUACUUUACGAUAUGAUGAUACAGAGUUCAUUCGGACUACAGUACCAUUACAUGUAGAUGUGAUAGUGUUCUACCAUACAGGUUACGUAUGAUUAUACGGUAUUGUAUUACUUGUUCAUUUGGAGUGCUACGUUAUACAGUUACGUAUUCCUCAUUCGAGAUAGUUUCGCUGGGUCAUAUGAUAUACGGGGUUUCGAUACAGUACUCGUACAGUUCAUUAGGUUGAUGAUUCGGAUAGAUCAUCACUAAUAAGUAAGAGUUGUGGCACAGCUAAAACUAAAGGUUAAUUCCUGAAUGGUUUCCAUCAGGUCGAACACGGCGGAUUCACGGACACCAUCGGGUUGUAGGGAUGAGAACCUUACACAGAUAGGGUGAGCUGGAGCAUCCGGAGAGUUAUGGCGUGCUCGCUUGUAUUCAGCGUAUCCGAUUGAGGCCUCACGGCCGAACAUCCCUCGCUGGGAGUGUUCGUACACGCUUACUCGUGUUUACCGUUCGUUCGUAUCAGGUUCAGAGUUCUAUUUUAUUUGAGAGAGGUCGAGAGUUGUACCCGCUCAUGUAUAGAGACCACCAUUUUUGUACUAGAGACAGUUAUUGUACUACUUUAUGUCUUAUCUUUACUGUUUUGGUUAUGUAUCCUUUACUCUGGUUAUAGAUGUUAGAACUUUAUCCGCUUUGAUAUCAUUAGUUGUCUUUUACUCGGAUUGUUCUAUCUCUUAUUUUAUUUCCGCUGUUGUUGUAGACGCCUUAUAUGUGUAGACAUAUGGCGAGUCUGGGCAAGCUACCGGGAGGGCCUCCGCCGGUCCCGAGGCUUGACAGAUUAAUUUGGUAUCAGAGCCUAGGGUUGAGUCUUAGAGGACCUAGCAAACCUUAGGCCGGUUGGACUAUAGGAGAUAGGCCCGUGAGAGACGAAGUCUAACUGAAUUGUUAGCGAAAGUAUUUCGAUUGGGUUUAUGAUAACUCUAAAAAGUUAGAGUUCGAUCAGAGUGUAUGGCUUCUAACUUCGCGGAGGGUUAUGUUGGCGGCCGACAACGUAACAUCGGGAGUUAGUUGUGGAUAACACUUCCUUACUUUCGCGUGAUUACGGUUUUGUUAUUUGAGCGGGGAUUCGAUAGCGCGGGUUACUAACUUGCGCUUUUAUGUUCUGUAGUGACGAUGCCGAUUACACGCUCCCAGUCUGCCGGGGCAGAUGAUGCGGCACACCCUGAGGAGGUCGAGACCUUCGCUACUUCCGGAUCUAGUGAGGUCCGUGACGUGAGGACCCAGCUUGCGGCCCUCACUGAUCUGUUGGCGCAGCAGACGGCAGCGGCGCAGCGACAGGCUGAGGUGGCUCAGCGGCAGGAUGCGCGGAUGAAGCAUCUUGAGGACCUCCUACUUCAGCAGGCAGCAGCUUCGAGGGAGACCCAGGGUCCCGCACCGCCAGCACCGGUGGUGGACGUCGCACCGAGAGCGCAGUCCCCCGCGCUCAGUUCUUCACGUGCGGCACCGGCGACUACACCGCGGGAGGAGGUGGCUGCGGUACCUCCAGUUUGGAGACCGAUCACGGAGGCAGCUUUCCCCGUGAGGGCCGAGGGAGCCGAGCGGGAUCGGCUCAUGGAUCGCCUCAGUGAGUUCAGGAGGUGCAGCCCGAGGACGUUCGAUGGCGAGAACGUCGACACUGGAUUGUUGAGAAGUGGUUGAUGCAUAUGGAGAAGCUAUUUCGAGAUACCUUUGUGGAGGAGAGGGACAGAGUGUGGCUUGCCACACACUUCUUGGACGGCGAGGCCUACCGUUUGUGGUUGGAUAUUCUAGACAACCCCAACACCGAUUUGGCAGCGAUCACUUGGGCGAGAUUCAAGGAGAUGCUUCUGGCGCACUACUUCCCUACCAGCGCCAAGAGGAAGAUGGAGCAGGACUUGCGCAGCUUGAGCCAGGACGAGCGGUCAGUGGCCGAGUACGAGAGGGAGUUCUCCCGGCUACUUCAUUGUGUACCGUUUGUUGUGAGGGAUGAUGAGGACAAGGCCCGCAUUUUUGAGCGUGGAUUGCGGCCUUCUAUCUUUCGGUUGGUACAGUCCUCCAACCUCCAGACCUACCGGGAGGUUGUGGAUCGAGCACUGAUAGUGGAGGCAAAAGCGGCGGAUCUUCAGGAGCGUCGUGAGAGCUCGGAGAAAGGGAGGGGAAAGAGGCCCGCGGCUGAGGGUGCGAGUCAGAUUGUAAGGUACCAGACUUCUAAAAAUAUGAAGUUAUGGUGUACAUUUAAAUGGUUCCGGUGAGGUUGCGGUGUAAUGUAAUAUACCGGAUUUAAAUAUAAAAAUAAAAAAUAAAUAAAAAUAGUAUGAGAUACUGUUUUUAUUGGAUUUAGAGAAGUGAAAUAUAGGUUGGGAAUGACCUGUGCUAAAAUUGGAGCGAAAACAGAAGAUUUAGAAUUUUCUGUGAGAAACGGGACAGAUAAAUUAGCAGAAAAUGCACAGUCUCAGAAAAUUAUGAAAAUUGGAGGAUAAGUCAGAAAUAUUUUUAUGAGGCUAGGUUUAAAGUUUCAUAUUUUUCUAACACCCGUAGAGUGAGAAAUAAAAUCCGAUAGCUAUCUGAUAAAGAUUACAGUUCGGUGCAGCUUUCAGUGACCAAACGAGGUCGAAAUUGAAAACUUAAGAUAUAUUCUUACUCAGUACGUUGAACUGAGCCUGCCUGUCAAAUUUGAGCUCAAACGGACAUUCAGAAGGGCUCCAACUGCUCCGAACUGCUAAACUGAUAUAGUGGUGCAAGUGGUAGUAAAUGUGAGGGGGUUUCCUGCAAUUGUGGCAGCCCCAUAUGUGGUGCGGCUGCUUGGCCGAAGCAUCACACGCACACACACCUUCUCUUCUCCUUCUCUCCCUCACACUUGCAACCAUGGAGAGCUCUCUCUCUCUCUAGGAAUAAGAAGCCAAGAGAGAGGUUUGGUGAAGCUUGGAAGUGAAUCUUCAUCAUCUUCUUCCUCUUCUUCAAGCUUGGAGGAAUCUUGUGAGGUAAAGCACUAACCCUUUAAUGGUAGAAUGUUAGGGCUUCAAUUAUACGCUCUAGAAAUGGUUUUAGGCAAACCUUAGGAGGUUACUAGGAUGAUUCUAACAUGAAUCUAUGGUUCUAUUAGUGUGCUUUGCACUAAUUGCAACAUAGAGCUCCAAAAUAAGGGCUUUAAUGGUAGAUCUCUAAAGAUAGGUCCAAAUGCUUUGGAAAUGGUUUUAGUGGAACCCAUUGAUGCCUAAUAGAUGAUUAUUGCAUGAAUCUAAAGUUGUAGUAGAGUAUUCUUGCAAUAGUUGAAACCUAGGACUCAAAAUGGGAUUUUUAUAAAUUGUUGGGUUUGAUCUCUUUUAACCCGCUAUUUAC
This 5558-nucleotide long non-coding RNA is filed under the name Ananas comosus (pineapple). RNAcentral's name for it is "long non-coding RNA (ACOM_LNC001852)". Lineage: Eukaryota; Viridiplantae; Streptophyta; Magnoliopsida; Poales; Bromeliaceae. The record is from RNAcentral.